ACUCAAAUGAAUAGACGGGGGCCCGCACAAGCGGUGGAGCAUGUGGUUCAAUUCGACGCAACGCGAAGAACCUUACCCAGGCUUGAACAGCGAAUGACAACGCCCGAAAGGGUGCUUCCGCAAGGACAUUCGUAGAGGUGCUGCAUGGCUGUCGUCAGCUCGUGUCGUGAGAUGUUGGGUUAAGUCCCGCAACGAGCGCAACCCUUGUUUGCUGUUGCCAUCACGUUAUGGUGGGCACUCUGCAGAGACUGCCGGUGAUAAACCGGAGGAAGGUGGGGAUGACGUCAAGUCAGCAUGGCCUUUAUGUCUGGGGCUACACACGUGCUACAAUGGCAGAUACAAACCGUCGCAAAACCGCAAGGUCGAGCUAAUCGGAUAAAGUCUGUCUCAGUUCGGAUAACAGGCUGCAACUCGCCUGUUUGAAGUUGGAAUCGCUAGUAAUCGCGGAUCAGCACGCCGCGGUGAAUACGUUCCCGGGCCUUGUACACACCGCCCGU
Molecule: ribosomal RNA, 497 nt
Filed under: uncultured bacterium
Lineage: Bacteria
Description: partial 16S ribosomal RNA
Rfam family: Bacterial small subunit ribosomal RNA
Source: RNAcentral